GUGCCAGCCGCCGCGGUAAUACGGAGGGUGCGAGCGUUGUCCGGAAUCACUGGGCGUAAAGGGCGCGUAGGUGGUUCGAUAAGUCGCUGGUGAAAUUCCGGGGCUCAACUCCGGAGCUGCCGGCGAGACUGUCGGACUUGAGCACGGUAGGGGCAGAUGGAAUUCCCGGUGUAGCGGUGGAAUGCGUAGAUAUCGGGAAGAAUACCAGUGGCGAAGGCGUUCUGCUGGGCCGUUGCUGACACUGAGGCGCGACAGCGUGGGGAGCAAACAGGAUUAGAAACCCGCGUAGUCC
This 292-nucleotide ribosomal RNA is filed under the name uncultured bacterium. Its description in RNAcentral is "partial 16S ribosomal RNA". It matches the Rfam family "Bacterial small subunit ribosomal RNA", at positions 505 to 796 of the family's 1533-position model. The record is from RNAcentral.